This 458-nucleotide ribosomal RNA is filed under the name uncultured bacterium. RNAcentral's name for it is "SSU rRNA". It matches the Rfam family "Bacterial small subunit ribosomal RNA", at positions 26 to 518 of the family's 1533-position model. The record is from RNAcentral.
AGAACGAACGCUGGCGGCAUGCCUAACACAUGCAAGUCGAACGCUCUUGGGGCUUCGGUUCCAAGGGAGUGGCGCACGGGUGAGUAGCGCGUGGGAACCUGCCCUGGAGUGGGGGAUAACCGAGGGAAACUUCGGCUAAUACCGCAUACGCCGGGAAACCGGGAAAGAUUUAUCGCUCUAGGAGGGGCCCGCGUCGGAUUAGGUAGUUGGUGGGGUAACGGCUUACCAAGCCUGUGAUCCGUAGCUGGUCUGAGAGGAUGAUCAGCCACACUGGGACUGAGACACGGCCCAGACUCCUACGGGAGGCAGCAGUGGGGAAUAUUGGACAAUGGGCGCAAGCCUGAUCCAGCAAUGCCGCGUGAGUGAUGAAGGCCUUCGGGUUGUAAAGCUCUUUUGUGCGGGAAGAUAAUGACGGUACCGCAAGAAUAAGCCCCGGCUAACUUCGCGCCAGCAGCCGC